AUGGUCAAGGCGGCGAGUCGGGCGGAGCCGGCGCACGGGCCCCGCGAAGCAUCAUCCGGACGAUGGGGAGAGCCGGGACGAGGUGAAGGCGCGGCUCCAGCCACCGGAACGCGAGGCGGGGCAGUCGACACGAGCCCGGAGAGGCUGGGAGCGGCCAGGUCACAGGCCGUUGCAUCCGGCGGCCGGGUUCGGGGCAGCCGGCAUGGGGGCGAAGGUGCUGGGCAAGCGGCCACAGCAGGCGGCUCGCGGACGGUUCGGCGGCCAGGGGCCAGAGCAGCACAGGCAGAGCCGCAGCCGGCAGCAGCGCGGGCUGAGUAG
RNAcentral lists this ribosomal RNA (318 nucleotides) under Triticum aestivum (bread wheat). RNAcentral describes it as "partial small subunit ribosomal RNA". Lineage: Eukaryota; Viridiplantae; Streptophyta; Magnoliopsida; Poales; Poaceae. The record is from RNAcentral.